GACGAACGCUGGCGGCAUGCCUAAUACAUGCAAGUCGGGCGGACUUGAAGAGAAGCUUGCUUCUCUGAUGGUUAGCGGCGGACGGGUGAGCAACACGUAGGCAACCUGCCCUCAAGCUUGGGAGACCUACCGGAAACGGUAGCUAAUACCGAAUACUUGUUUUCUUCGCCUGAAGGAAACUGGAAAGACGGAGCAAUCUGUCACUUGGGGAUGGGCCUGCGGCGACGUAGCUAGUUGGGGGGGGAACGGCUCACCAAGGCGACGGGGCGUAGCCGACCUGGGAGGGUGAUCGGCCACGCUGGGACUGACGCACGGCCCAGACUCCUACGGGAGGCAGCGGUAGGGCAUCUACCGCAAUGGGCGAAAGCCUGACGUAGCAAUUCCGCGUGAGUGAUGAAGGUUUUCGGAUCGUAAAGCUCUGUUGCCAGGGAAGAACGCUUGGGAUAGUAACGGCUCCCAAGGUGACGGUACCUGAGAAGAAAGCCCCGGCUAACUACGUGCCAGCAGCCGCCGUAA
RNAcentral lists this ribosomal RNA (516 nucleotides) under uncultured bacterium. RNAcentral describes it as "partial 16S ribosomal RNA". It matches the Rfam family "Bacterial small subunit ribosomal RNA", at positions 28 to 523 of the family's 1533-position model. The record is from RNAcentral.